UGGCUUCCCCCAAGGACGCCGCCCCCUCCCCCGCCGGCAUGGAGAACUCAGAGCGGCGGGACGGACGCCUCCCGCUGGCGGAGGUGGUCUCGGAUUGCGUCAGAAGGUGGUUUCAGGAUACGCUGAAGGAGGCUAGGGCUGGGGAUUCGGCGAUGCAGGUGAUGGUUGGGCAGAUGUAUCAAAGUGGGUAUGGGGUGGCGCG
RNAcentral lists this unclassified non-coding RNA (202 nucleotides) under Hevea brasiliensis (rubber tree). Lineage: Eukaryota; Viridiplantae; Streptophyta; Magnoliopsida; Malpighiales; Euphorbiaceae. The record is from RNAcentral.